UCCCGGCUGGCUCAGUUGGUAGAGCGUGUGACUCUUGAUCUUGAGGUUGUAAGUUCGAGCCCCACACUGGGUG
RNAcentral lists this transfer RNA (73 nucleotides) under Ailuropoda melanoleuca (giant panda). It matches the Rfam family "tRNA". From Rfam's summary of the family: Transfer RNA (tRNA) molecules are approximately 80 nucleotides in length. Their secondary structure includes four short double-helical elements and three loops (D, anti-codon, and T loops). Further hydrogen bonds mediate the characteristic L-shaped molecular structure. tRNAs have two regions of fundamental functional importance: the anti-codon, which is responsible for specific mRNA codon recognition, and the 3' end, to which the tRNAs corresponding amino acid is attached (by aminoacyl-tRNA synthetases). tRNAs cope with the degeneracy of the genetic code in two manners: having more than one tRNA (with a specific anti-codon) for a particular amino acid; and 'wobble' base-pairing, i.e. permitting non-standard base-pairing at the 3rd anti-codon position. The record is from Rfam by way of RNAcentral. Lineage: Eukaryota; Metazoa; Chordata; Mammalia; Carnivora; Ursidae.